Molecule: ribosomal RNA, 447 nt
Filed under: uncultured bacterium
Lineage: Bacteria
Description: partial 16S ribosomal RNA
Rfam family: Bacterial small subunit ribosomal RNA
Source: RNAcentral
UUCCAGACUCCUACGGGAGGCAGCAGUGGGGGAUAUUGCACAAUGGGGGGAACCCUGAUGCAGCGACGCCGCGUGGGUGAAGGAGUAUUUCGGUAUGUAAAGCCCUAUCGGCAGGGAAGAAGCAAGACGGUACCCGACUAAGAAGCCCCGGCUAACUACGUGCCAGCAGCCGCGGUGAUACGUAGGGGGCGAGCGUUAUCCGGAUUCACUGGGUGUAAAGGGAGCGUAGACGGCCAAGCAAGCCAGGGGUGAAAGCCCGGGGCUCAACCCUGGGACUGCUCUGGAAACUGUAAAGCUGGAGUGCGGGAGGGGCAGGCGGAAUUCCUGGUGUAGCGGUGAAAUGCGUAGAUAUCAGGAGGAACACCGGCGGCGAAGGCGGCCUGCUGGACCGUAACUGACGUUGAGGCUCGAAAGCGUGGGGAGCAAACAGGAUUAGAUACCCCAGUA